UACAGAGGUCUCAAGCGUUGUUCGGAUUCAUUGGGCGUAAAGGGUGCGUAGGCGGCGCGGUAAGUCGGGUGUGAAAUUUCGAGGCUUAACUUCGAAACUGCAUUCGAUACUGCCGUGCUAGAGGACUGGAGAGGAGACUGGAAUUUACGGUGUAGCGGUGAAAUGCGUAGAUAUCGUAAGGAAGACUAGUGGCGAAGGCGGGUCUCUGGACAGUUCCUGACGCUGAGGCACGAAGGUCAGGGGAGCAAACGGG
RNAcentral lists this ribosomal RNA (253 nucleotides) under uncultured bacterium. Its description in RNAcentral is "partial 16S ribosomal RNA". It matches the Rfam family "Bacterial small subunit ribosomal RNA", at positions 524 to 776 of the family's 1533-position model. The record is from RNAcentral.